UAGCUCAGUCAGUAGAGCAUGAGAUUCUUAAUCUCAGGAUAGUGGGUUCGUGCCUCAC
Molecule: transfer RNA, 58 nt
Filed under: Neotoma lepida (desert woodrat)
Lineage: Eukaryota; Metazoa; Chordata; Mammalia; Rodentia; Cricetidae
Rfam family: tRNA
About the family: Transfer RNA (tRNA) molecules are approximately 80 nucleotides in length. Their secondary structure includes four short double-helical elements and three loops (D, anti-codon, and T loops).
Source: Rfam by way of RNAcentral